This 535-nucleotide ribosomal RNA is filed under the name uncultured Mycobacterium sp. RNAcentral's name for it is "bacterial SSU rRNA". It matches the Rfam family "Bacterial small subunit ribosomal RNA", at positions 54 to 606 of the family's 1533-position model. The record is from RNAcentral. Lineage: Bacteria; Bacillati; Actinomycetota; Actinomycetes; Mycobacteriales; Mycobacteriaceae.
CAUGCAAGUCGAACGGAAAGGCCCUUCGGGGUACUCGAGUGGCGAACGGGUGAGUAACACGUGGGUGAUCUGCCCUGCACUUUGGGAUAAGCCUGGGAAACUGGGUCUAAUACCGAAUAGGACCGCGCUCUUCAUGGGGUGUGGUGGAAAGCUUUUGCGGUGUGGGAUGGGCCCGCGGCCUAUCAGCUUGUUGGUGGGGUAAUGGCCUACCAAGGCGACGACGGGUAGCCGGCCUGAGAGGGUGACCGGCCACACUGGGACUGAGAUACGGCCCAGACUCCUACGGGAGGCAGCAGUGGGGAAUAUUGCACAAUGGGCGCAAGCCUGAUGCAGCGACGCCGCGUGAGGGAUGACGGCCUUCGGGUUGUAAACCUCUUUCAAUAGGGACGAAGCGCAAGUGACGGUACCUAUAGAAGAAGGACCGGCCAACUACGUGCCAGCAGCCGCGGUAAUACGUAGGGUCCGAGCGUUGUCCGGAAUUACUGGGCGUAAAGAGCUCGUAGGUGGUUUGUCGCGUUGUUCGUGAAAACUCACA